CACCGCGGUUAUACGAGGGACUCAAGUUGACAAUCACCGGCGUAAAGCGUGGUUAGAUUUAUAGAUAAACUAAAGCCGAAAACAUUCAUAGCAGUCAUACGCAUGAAAGUAAUAAGCCCACUUACGAAAGUAGCUUUAUAGCAUUUUGAACCCACGAAAACUGGGAGA
This 168-nucleotide ribosomal RNA is filed under the name Nemipterus marginatus. RNAcentral describes it as "partial small subunit ribosomal RNA". Lineage: Eukaryota; Metazoa; Chordata; Actinopteri; Spariformes; Nemipteridae. The record is from RNAcentral.